GAUUGAUAUGUUGUUGGGCGGAGAUGUCUUUCCACAUACUGUACGUCCAAAGGAGGAGAUCAUACACAUGAAAGGUUUACCUUCCAGGCUUGACACCUAUGUAGGACGGAUAUCAAGCUAUCAAUAAAUGCUGAAUAUUUGUCAUCGGGAUAUGGAAUUUUAACGGCGUUGUAUUGCUUUUCAAAAUGUUCAACUAAACCAGCGAUAGGAAUAGCAUUCUUGUAUAUGGCCCAAUCAAUUUUAGGUGCUUCUGGGGAUAAUGCAAACAUUCUGCAAAUUAUUUCAUUCAAUAUUUUAAAUAUAUAAAUAUUUAGCGAUAAACAUUUAAUUCGGUCAAAAAUGAUAUUUACAUACUUUCGGAGGUACCCAUCAGAUUUAGCUUUAAAAGCUAAA
This is a long non-coding RNA of Daktulosphaira vitifoliae (grape phylloxera), 393 nucleotides long. RefSeq lists it as uncharacterized. The record is from RefSeq and is a predicted model, not a curated record. The transcript has 3 exons. Lineage: Eukaryota; Metazoa; Arthropoda; Insecta; Hemiptera; Phylloxeridae.